UAGGCGGUGCUCUCCUUCUGCACUGUGUUCAACCAUUGUGUCAAUAAUAAGUGCUGCUGUGAAGAGAACAAUUCUCAGACUGAAUGUUGAACAUCAGCUAGUUUCUCCUGUUGAUUGAAACCUUGUUGUACAGAUGGAACAUUGGCUGUGGAUUAUUCUUGCUGCUCUUUUCUUUGAGUGUAAAGGAGAAGACAAAGUGAUCCAGGAACAAGGAGAUGUCAUUGCUGCUGAAGGAGACACAGUUACACUUGGAUGUCAGUAUGAGAGCAGUGGAACAAAUAAUUAUCUCUUCUGGUACAAACAGGAUGGAAACAACAGCCCCAAAUUCAUCCUGAGUCGUGUUAGUGGGGAUGAUGGAAACACAGCAGCCGAGUUCAAGGAGAGAUUUUCAUCCACACUGGAUUCCAGCAUCAGAUCAGUUCCUCUGAAGAUCCAGAAGCUUCAGCUGUCUGACUCUGCUGUGUACUACUGUGCUGUGAGG
This is a non-coding RNA of Oreochromis aureus, 481 nucleotides long. The record is from the annotation of a RefSeq genome assembly. Lineage: Eukaryota; Metazoa; Chordata; Actinopteri; Cichliformes; Cichlidae.